AUUGAACGCUGGCGGCAGGCCUAACACAUGCAAGUCGGACGGUAGCACAGAGGAGCUUGCUCCUCGGGUGACGAGUGGCGGACGGGUGAGUAAUGUCUGGGGAUCUGCCCGAUAGAGGGGGAUAACCACUGGAAACGGUGGCUAAUACCGCAUAACGUCGCAAGACCAAAGAGGGGGACCUUCGGGCCUCUCACUAUCGGAUGAACCCAGAUGGGGUUAGGUAGUAGGCGGGGUAACGGCCCACCUAGGCGACGAUCCCUAGCUGGUCUGAGAAGAUGACCAGCCACACUGGAACUGAGACACGGUCCAGACUCCUACGGGAGGCAGCAGUGGGGAAUAUUGCACAAUGGGCGCAGGCCUGAUGCAGCCAUGCCGCGUGUAUGAAGAAGGCCUUCGGGUUGUAAAGUACUUUCAGCGGGGAGGAAGGCGAUAAGGUUAAUAACCUUGUCGAUUGACGUUACCCGCAGAAGAAGCACCGGCUAACUCCGUGCCAGCCGCCGCGGUAA
This 506-nucleotide ribosomal RNA is filed under the name uncultured bacterium. Its description in RNAcentral is "partial 16S ribosomal RNA". It matches the Rfam family "Bacterial small subunit ribosomal RNA", at positions 29 to 523 of the family's 1533-position model. The record is from RNAcentral.